GCAUUGGUGGUUCAGUGGUAGAAUUCUCGCCUCCCACGUGGGAGACAUGAUCUGAUUCCCGGCCAAUGCA
This 70-nucleotide transfer RNA is filed under the name Danio rerio (zebrafish). It matches the Rfam family "tRNA". From Rfam's summary of the family: Transfer RNA (tRNA) molecules are approximately 80 nucleotides in length. Their secondary structure includes four short double-helical elements and three loops (D, anti-codon, and T loops). The record is from Rfam by way of RNAcentral. Lineage: Eukaryota; Metazoa; Chordata; Actinopteri; Cypriniformes; Danionidae.